UCACACGUACACAAAUUAUUCAAGCUCAGGCAUCACUGGCCAUCCAGGUCUCACGAACAUACUAUUAUAUAAUCAUACUUAGUUGGCAAUGAGAUAAGCCUCAACAGCCUGGAAAAUGGCGCGGUUCUGGUCAUUAGCGAACUUAAUGUUCUCUUCAGGGACGACAGCAUCGCCUUUGGUGUUGAAAGUGAUGGUACUCUUGACAGUGCAGCCACCAUCAGCAUUAGGGACAUACGCGAAGUGGUUGUUGAUGGAUUCAAUAAAUCCCAGAAGAAUGUCUCCGUCGAUGAUGCUGUAAGCGUAUGUGAAGGACUCUUUGUCAAUGGCAUCCACCUUUUGCUUCAUUGUCUUGAAGGGGCUCGCUGCAUUGAGACACGGAUGAAUUAGUAUCUGAUCGAUUUUUUAAAAUUGUAAAUUACUAACAAGUAAUAUGAUCAUGGUCAUAAUAAAAGAUAAAACAGGACUAACCAUCGCCAAGAUGGACAAGCUUGACGGUUCCAACUCCACCAUCGCCCUCAAGAGUCUCGGAACUCUUGAUAGCACCAGGGAGAACCUGAGGAAGAAGUGUAUCGAUGUCGAGGCACAAGGCCUUGAACAGUUUCUCUGCUGAUACAGAGGAAGUGACUUCGGCUUCAGUCUUUUGGACACCCAUAAUUCUAUUGAAACAGAAACUGAGAAAAGUACUAAGAGCUUAUCAAGGAAUGCUGUGAGAUUGGUACGAGGAAAUGAGGAGGUUUUGGCCACUAUUUAUAGUGCUCAGUAUGGAUCUCCUCUUGCUAAUCUAGAUUAUUCAGUGAUAAAUAUUUUUGAAUACGGUUAUUGAAUGUGAUUAGCUAGGUAAUAGUUGUGCCAAGUGAGUACUGGUUAGUGGUUAGUGGUUAGUCUUGGCUUUACAUAACACCUACUUUCCAUUUUCCACGUAGAAAAUGUCUUAAAGCAGAGCUUGUUGUGUAUGUGUACAUCAAACAAGUAGCCAGAAAGCAUGACUUUGAACAGUUUUUCUUUUAUUAUGACUUUCAACUUUGAGGGCUGAUAAAGACGCUUUGAAAUAUUUAUAUAUUAUCAUUCACUUACGUGUCCGGCCGGGCGUUGUCUUCUGCGAUAUAUGUGAAUUUAAUUAGGUAAAAAGAUGCCUUGGACAAGUAAGUGGACCGUUUUGGUUCAUACUUAAUAAGUCCGGAAAUUUCAAAAUCAUUUUCUGAUACUAAAUGGAAAUGUAUAUUUAUUUAUUGAGCAACUCAGUUAUUGUAUUUUUUUAAACUACUUAUUCUCAUAUUUCUCAUUCUCAUUUUCGAUAAUGAUUUUCGUUGAUAUCUAUUUUCCAAACAAGCGCUAGAUUUCUCUACUUUUAGAUCGUUUGCAUGAGCUUGGUAAGAACGAUUAAGCGUAGGCUUGGUAAUAUUUACAGAAAUGAUAAAAUUUCUUCAAAUAGAUUAUUUGUAAUCUUAUUUUGAAGAAAUGAAUAUUUAUAAAUUUUAUACAAGUACGAGAACAUGAAGGAGUGGCGUUCUGCAUCUAGAAUUAUGGUACGUAGACAUGUGCAAUGUGAUGCAAGACGGGGACAAACACAUUCCACUUGAUUUUGGUGUAGAAAAUUUUGGUUGUGAAUUUUCAACAUUGACCUGCAUGUGCACGAACUGUCAAUCCCAAUUCCCAAAUACUGCAAUUUGUUUUCAUGAUAGGGUGAUGGCCAGUGAGAGAAACAAAGAUUCUUAAGUUUCUUAGAAAAAUAAAAUAUUACUUACUUUAAAAACGAUUUAAAACAAAUUUGAUUGAUAAUAUCUGAUUGAGUUCACUCACACUAAUAAUAACGGAAUCUUUUUUAUGUGUACGAGUCUUUCAAUUAAAAAUGAUCAUAUAUUUGCUGCAACAUUUAGAAAAAGAAUUUGAGAAGAUAAUUUGAAAUAAAUAACAUUACUAAAAUAACUCCUUGUGUUUCUUUUACUCAGACACUUUUGACUUGGGUACGUACUUUUAGGUGGGUUGACUGAUUUAUACUCCCUCCGUCCCAUUUUAACUGCUUUUGACUUUUUUACACGUAUUUUAAGAUGUUAAAAAAAUUACAUCUAAACAUGAUUAUUUUUUAUAAAAUUUAUAUCAAAUAAAAGUUUAAAGUCUAAACUUUUAUUUGAUAUAAGAAUUGAAAUUUUUUAUUGAGUGUAAAUAUUGUUUUUUUACACCUCAAUAUACGUGUUAAAAAGUCAAACAUCAGUUAAAAUGAGACAGAGGGAGUAAAAAUUAUUAUUUUUAAUUAUUUUUUUGUGAAUUAUAAUUUUGAGUACAUAUUUUUAUUUUGAAAAAAAAAUUUAAAAAUAAUAUUUUUAAAUAUUCGGUCAAAAUAUAAAAAUAUGUGUCAAAAAAUCAAACAUCAUAUAUUAAAAAGAUAGCACAGCCAUAACGAACAUUAAUCAUGAUACAUGAUAGUAACUACUGCAACCAGUAGGAAGUCGAUAUAAUCCAUCCGUUAAAUAUGGCGUCUUUAACUUGAAGCUGCUGUUAGAGUUUUCAUUUAUAGAAAGUUCCGAAUCAGUUAAUUAUUUUUGAUUUUUUUAUUUUUCAAUAAUACUUCUCACCGAAUUUGUUCUUAAAUGAUAGAUCUACUGAGAAUAUGAUUCGAUGAUAAAUUAUUUGGGAUGAAUUAACGACGAGUUAGACGACUGUAAUUCAGUCUCAAUCAUGCUCGAUACCGAUUGCAAUUCCUCCUUUUUUUCUCUAGCUCUUUGUUAUUUUCUUUUCGCGGAUAUGGUGUCUUUCAUCUGGAUUUUCUUUUCGGUCACUAAAGUUGUAUAAUUGUAUUGACUAAAUUUCUGAGAUCAUUUCUGCAUGAUCUUUGGUUAGUCGGUAGAAUUUUUGAAUAAAAAUUCUCCUCUUCUUAAUUCUGCGAAUUUUUUUAUUUUUUUGAGUGGCUUUUUCCGGACAUCAAAAUUUUUAUCUACAGUAACAUCUCCAUCGGUCCAUCCUUUGCAGAAUGACAUUUUUUUAAGCCCCCUAAAACAGAACACAACCACAAACCUCUGCAGAAACAACUCUUCAGUUUGCAGUGAUUACAAUUUAACUAAAGCUCAGCUUCUGCUCAUUUACGCAUCAGCAAUUCUCUAACUCUCUAACAAACUACGGAGGAUCAGAUAUAAGUCUCAGAUUAAGAGACAUCAAAUAAUAAACAUGACAAAUAUGAAUAGAACCAGAAGUGAUGUUAUCUCGAAUGAAAUGACAAUAGAUUAUGAGAUGUGUUCUCCUAGCCUAAAAAACUGGAAUCUCGGCAAUGAAUUUUGCAGCAAAUUUUCACUUAACAAAUGUAUUAGGGUUGGAAGAUAAAACUUCCAAAUUAAAAUAGCUCUUACUCAUAUACUCUGCUUCUGCAGUAGUUUUAACACGGCUAACACAUUUAUGUGAAACAGGUGCUCAGAACAUUAAUAUGAUUAUUUGUUAUUAACAUCCAUGAUCAAAUACAAAGUUUGAUUGUGAAACCUUGUAAAAAAUACAAGGUUUUUCUAUUAUUGAUUAGAUUUCGAGUGUUAAUUUGAUGUUCUUGAAACAAAUAAAGUUUCUCCAGUAUGGUAAUCCUUCUGAAGUUAUGCAGAAGACAGUGAUUCAUCACAAAAUACUAUUAUAACGCGAGGAGAAAGGAAAGAUACAUGUACUGAAGUUGAAACAUAACUUCAGACUGAUUACAAUACCGGAGAAACAUUAUUUGUUUCAAGAACAUCAUAUAUGUAUAACACUGGAAAUCAAAUCAAUAAUAGAAAACCCUUGUACUUGUCACACGCGCACACAUUAUUGAUUAUUCUCAAUCGCCCUCAUCAAAAUAUAGCAUGAUCAUAAUUAGUUUGCAAUGAGAUGAGCCUCAAUAGCCUUGAAAAUGGCGAGGUUCUGGUCAUUAGCGAACUUGAUGUUCUCUUCAGGGACGACAGCAUCGCCUUUGGUGGUGAAAGUGAUGGUACUCUUGACAGUGCAGCCUCCAUCAGCAGUAGGGACGUAGGUGAAAUGGUUGUUGAUGGAUUCCACAAAAUCUAGAAGAAUGUCUCCGUCGAUGAUGGUGUAAGAGUAGGUGAAGGAGUCUUUGUCAAUGACAUCAACCUUUUGCUUCAUUGUCUUGAAGGGGCUAGCUGCAAUACACAUAUCCAUAAUUAACAUAUGUGAGUUGAUCAUCUAAAAAGAUAUUUAUGCAUCAUGUCUACUGUUGUAGCCAAUAAGCAGGACAAAAUCAGUUUUUGGGGUCUUUAGUCUGUCUAUAUUAUGGUUCGUCAUCUAAAAUCUUAAGACGUUCAUAGUCUGUUGUGAGAAUAUUGGGGUGACGGAGAGUCAAACUUAGAGACAUUUGUCACACCUGGCUCUGAUGCCAAAACUGGUCCAUCUAAAACCUAGUCUAGAAGAAGACGUUAUAUGAAUCUUAUGCUAUAUUUCAACAUUACGUGAUAAUGAGGUGUGAUUAUAAAUGAUAAAAGAGUACUAACCAUC
This 4458-nucleotide long non-coding RNA is filed under the name Daucus carota (carrot). RNAcentral's name for it is "long non-coding RNA (DCAR_LNC004666)". Lineage: Eukaryota; Viridiplantae; Streptophyta; Magnoliopsida; Apiales; Apiaceae. The record is from RNAcentral.